This 628-nucleotide ribosomal RNA is filed under the name uncultured bacterium. Its description in RNAcentral is "bacterial SSU rRNA". The stretch from base 1 to 539 matches the Rfam family "Bacterial small subunit ribosomal RNA", at positions 338 to 873 of the family's 1533-position model. The record is from RNAcentral.
CCUACGGGAGGCAGCAGUGGGGAAUAUUGGACAAUGGGCGAAAGCCUGAUCCAGCAAUUCCGCGUGUGUGAAGAAGGCCUUCGGGUUGUAAAGCACUUUAGUGGGGGAAGAAACAGCUUGGCCACACCAAGCCUUGACGGUACCCCAAGAAUAAGCACCGGCUAACUCUGUGCCAGCAGCCGCGGUAAUACAGAGGGUGCAAGCGUUAAUCGGAUUUACUGGGCGUAAAGGGUGCGUAGGUGGCUAUUUAAGUCGGAUGUGAAAGCCCGGGGCUCAACCUCGGAAUUGCAUUCGAUACUGAGUGGCUAGAGUUCGGUAGAGGGCGGCGGAAUUUCCGGUGUAGCGGUGAAAUGCGUAGAUAUCGGAAGGAACAUCAAUGGCGAAGGCAGCCGCCUGGGCCUGGACUGACACUGAGGCACGAAAGCGUGGGUAGCAAACAGGAUUAGAUACCCUGGUAGUCCACGCCGUAAACGAUGAGAACUUGACGUUGGUUCGUUUUACGAAUCGGNGUCGCNGCUACGACGAUAAGUUACUCCGUCCGUCGGGUAGGUACGGCCGGCGACGGUAGUAACGUAACUAGAGUAGUAGACGUGUAGACGAGCGACGACGACGACGACGGAGGGAGGAG